UACGUAGGGUGCGAGCGUUGUCCGGAAUUACUGGGCGUAAAGAGCUCGUAGGUGGUUUGUCGCGUUGUUCGUGAAAACUCACAGCUUAACUGUGGGCGUGCGGGCGAUACGGGCAGACUGGAGUACUGCAGGGGAGACUGGAAUUCCUGGUGUAGCGGUGGAAUGCGCAGAUAUCAGGAGGAACACCGGUGGCGAAGGCGGGUCUCUG
This 208-nucleotide ribosomal RNA is filed under the name uncultured bacterium. Its description in RNAcentral is "partial 16S ribosomal RNA". It matches the Rfam family "Bacterial small subunit ribosomal RNA", at positions 524 to 731 of the family's 1533-position model. The record is from RNAcentral.